CGGCCCCUCUUUCUUUCCUCUCUUCCUCAUGCCCUCAUGCCGGUCUUGCUUUGGCAGAAAAGAAACGUACAAACCAGAGGGGCAGAGCAUCGCAAGCGAGAUGGCAGUAUGAUCUGUGGGUCGGGGCUAGGCCGGCCAGCAAGCUGGCGAUGGCAGAAGCCAUGCGCGCUGGCCGGUGGCCCUCAAAAGAGGGAGAAGAUGAGCGAGAAAGGGGUUUUUUUUCGGAGAGGAGAUGGACAGAGAGCUUGAGAGAGAUCGAAGAGCUCGAGAGAACGGAGGGCGAGCCAGAGGGAGAGAGUGAGACCGAGAGAGCGUUUCGGCAUUUCCUGAGAUCCGCCCGUUGCUCAUCGUCCGAACCGGGUAAGUCUUCCGAACCGUUGGUGCUCCGUUUUAGGAGGUGUUGGACCGGAGCUCGCGACCGACCAUUUCGCGCGAGCUUCGGUCCCGCUGGUCCUUCGUUGAUUUUGUUGCGCGUUCUGGUAUGUUUCGGUAGGAACUUAGGGCUGUGUUUGAGUCUCGAUCACGUCGGAAAUCUCUCGUUCGAGUCGCGCACGUCAACUGUUUGCAGGGAUGCUUGAAUGAAGUCCGAGUAUUCUUAGUUGGUCUUGACCGAGCCUUAUCGUCCUUGAGUUCAUAUCCAUAUUAAAUUUGAUGCAAUCUGUCUCUGAGUUGGUCUGGAAUGUUGUUUGUGUGUCGAUUAUCGUUGCUUGGUCCGAACAAUAGCCCCGGACGAGCUUGGUCCUCCCUCUCGCUGGUGCAUUCUAUCUGUUUGAUGAAAUGUCAAAAUGAGAUUUGGAAAUGGUUUCUGCGAGGUUUGUUGCUGUGAUAUUGUCUUUGUUCGAGUUUGAGUCGCUUCCAUCGUGUUGUUUGCUCAUGCCGGUGUUAUUACACAAAUCGACGGAGUUUUAGUCAUACGAAAAUUUAGAGCUCAAAAAUCUAAUCUUUCGUCAGAAGCAUUCCGGCAACGGUGAUGAUCUCCGGUCAACUAGUGGCCGGCGGAGGUUCGGCGGUGGAAGGGUCGCCGGUCGUUCCGGGCUGCGUCGUUAUUUGGCUGAGUUUCGAUGAGGCCAUGUUUUGGGGAAGAGAAGGCUUCGGGCGUGCAGAGAGGAUGCACGAGGGAGAAGAAGACCAAAGGGGAG
RNAcentral lists this long non-coding RNA (1139 nucleotides) under Eucalyptus grandis. RNAcentral's name for it is "long non-coding RNA (EGRA_LNC003882)". The record is from RNAcentral. Lineage: Eukaryota; Viridiplantae; Streptophyta; Magnoliopsida; Myrtales; Myrtaceae.